Molecule: long non-coding RNA, 293 nt
Organism: Folsomia candida
Lineage: Eukaryota; Metazoa; Arthropoda; Collembola; Entomobryomorpha; Isotomidae
Exons: 3
Source: RefSeq, a predicted model, not a curated record
CUUAGCAACUUGGUAAAGAAUUCCUAAUAAGCGUCUUUACCGAGCUCUUGGUAAUUACGCGUCCUACAAAAAGUAUACGGGAUUAUUACCGUAUCAAUACCAAACGGCACUCUUUACCAUAAUUUUAAUCAAGUGCAGUACAAAUUUUUUCCGUUGUGGUGCUGAUGAGAUCUACAUUUUGGUGUAGUUUAUUACCACAGAGUUUUAGUUUCCGCUCAGCUCAACUCAAGUCAACAUGCCGAAAUAAUCCCCGUGUCCAAUUCCAAAUUCUGCAUGUGGGAAAAACUGAUAAA